This 93-nucleotide transfer RNA is filed under the name Cronartium quercuum f. sp. fusiforme G11. Its description in RNAcentral is "tRNA-Leu". It matches the Rfam family "tRNA". From Rfam's summary of the family: Transfer RNA (tRNA) molecules are approximately 80 nucleotides in length. The record is from RNAcentral. Lineage: Eukaryota; Fungi; Basidiomycota; Pucciniomycetes; Pucciniales; Coleosporiaceae.
GGUUAGAUGGCCUAGUGGUUAAGGCAGCCCAUACAAGUUGGGUCCAAGUACAGACAUAAUACUUGGUUGCUGGUUUGGUUCCAGCUCUGACCA